GAUGAACGCUGGCGGCGUGCCUAAUACAUGCAAGUCGAGCGAACGGACGAGAAGAUUGCUUUUCUGAUGUUAGCGACGGACGGGUGAGUAACACGUGGAUAACCUACCUAUAAGUGUGGGAUAACUAAGGGAAACCGGAGCGAAUAACGGCUAAUAUUUUGAACCGCAGGGUUCAAAAGUGAAAGACGGUCUUGCUGUCACUUAUAGAUGGAUCCGCGCUGCAUUAGCUAGUUGGUAAGGUAACGCCUAACCAAGGCAACGAUGCAUAGACGACCUGUGGGGGUGAUCGGCCACACUAGAACUGAGCCACGGUCCAGACUCCUACGGGAGGCAGCAGUAGGGAAUCGUCCGCAAUGGGCUAAAGCCUGACGGAGCAACGCCGCGUGAGUGAUGAAGGUCUUCGGAUCGUAAAACUCUGUUAUUAGUGAAGAACAUAUGUGUAAGUAACUGUGCACAUUUUGACGGUACCUAAUCAGAAAGCCACGGCUAACUACGUG
Molecule: ribosomal RNA, 497 nt
Filed under: uncultured bacterium
Lineage: Bacteria
Description: partial 16S ribosomal RNA
Rfam family: Bacterial small subunit ribosomal RNA
Source: RNAcentral